This is a non-coding RNA of Pelobates cultripes (western spadefoot toad), 222 nucleotides long. NCBI's taxonomy places the organism in Eukaryota, Metazoa, Chordata, Amphibia, Anura, Pelobatidae. The record is from the annotation of a GenBank genome assembly.
AAAUUUGAAUUUUUUUUUAUUGAUUUUGGUAGAUAUUCAUUAGGUCAGGUUUGAUCAACUGUUUUUUUCGUUAGAUCUAUCACGCAAGAGGCAGUAUUCACUACUUAACUUUGUGGGCGUGACUACGGGUUAGCCCCCCCUCAAGUGAAAUGUGAUUUUUUUUUUUAUUGAUUUUGGUAGAUAUUCAUUAGAUCAGGCUUGAUCAACUGUUUUUUUCGUUAG